This 433-nucleotide ribosomal RNA is filed under the name uncultured bacterium. RNAcentral's name for it is "partial 16S ribosomal RNA". It matches the Rfam family "Bacterial small subunit ribosomal RNA", at positions 29 to 507 of the family's 1533-position model. The record is from RNAcentral.
AACGAACGCUGGCGGCAUGCCUAACACAUGCAAGUCGAACGAGACCUUCGGGUCUAUUGUCGCACGGGUUCGUAACGCGUGGGAACCUUCCCUUAGGUUCGGAAUAACUCCCCUUAAGGUGUGCUAAUACCGGUUAUUUUCUUCUGACCAAAGAUUUAUCGCCUUUGGUUGGUCCCGCGUUUGAUUAGCUUGUUGGUAGGGUAAAAGCCUACCAAGGCGACGAUCCAUAGAUGGUCUGAGAGGAUGAUAAGCCACACUGGGACUGAGACACGGCCCAGAAUCGUACGGGAAGCAGCAGUGGGGAAUAUUGGAAAAUGGGCGAAAGCAUGAAGCAGCAAUGCCGCGUGAGUGAUGAAGGCCUUAGGGUAGUAAAGCUCUUUUAACAGGGAAGAUAAUGACAGUACCGGGAGAAUAAGCACCGGCUAACUCCGUG